This 130-nucleotide unclassified non-coding RNA is filed under the name uncultured Geomyces. Its description in RNAcentral is "sequence contains ITS1". The record is from RNAcentral. Lineage: Eukaryota; Fungi; Ascomycota; Leotiomycetes; Myxotrichaceae.
CAAUGAGUGUUUUAUGGCACUUUGUUGCUUUGGCAGGCCUGCCCUCGGGCUGCUGGCUCCGGCCGGCGAGCGCUUGCCAGAGGACCUAAACUCUGUUUGUCUAUACUGUCUGAGUACUAUAUAAUAGUUA